UCCUGCUGUUUCUACUGCUGCUGCUCCUGCUGCUGCUCCUGCUGCUUCUCCUGCUGUUUCUACUGCUCUUGUUAUUCUUGCCAUCAUUGCUGCUUCUGCUGCCGUUGGAUUAUUGUGCUAUCUAAAGAAGAAACGUCAAGACCAGAAAGAAGCUGUACUCUUCUCAGCAAACUCUGGAACAAAUUCUCCAACCGUCCAGAUCCUCCUUCCACCUCUCCAAGACAACUGAGAUCCUCACCUGAUUCCUGAGUCUAAUCGCCUCAUUGAAGAAAACACUGGAGAUUCACCUGCUUAAAGCUGCAGAGAAAACCACAGACCGUCGCUGUGCUGCACUGCAGUCCUCGCUCCACCGCUAGUGAA
Long non-coding RNA from Poecilia latipinna (sailfin molly), 360 nucleotides. RefSeq lists it as uncharacterized. The transcript has 2 exons. The record is from RefSeq and is a predicted model, not a curated record. Lineage: Eukaryota; Metazoa; Chordata; Actinopteri; Cyprinodontiformes; Poeciliidae.